CUCUCUCUCUCUCUCUCUCUCUCUCUAUCUGAGCGAAGAUAGAAAGUAAUGUCGCGCGCACGUCGGUUAUUUAAGUCAAGAGAUAGGAGAUAUUAUGUUACCAAGCCUUUAAGAUCCUUCCGUGUACGCGUCGGCCGAUUAAUCAUCGACUUUUCUACUUUCUUCAAAGAAAAUCUUCUCCCGAAGGUGGAAGGUGGAUCGAUCGCGACGUCGCUCGGUCCAACUCUUACCAAUGAUCGCGAUUAACGAGUACGAACGACGAGACGCGUUCUCUCUCGAUUCACUUAUUCUUUUCGUUACACGUUUGGUUGCCUUUGGCAUAGCUUCGUUGUUUGCACAGCUGUCCUCGAUAAAAUACGAUGCUCGUUAGGAUACCUUCAAGCGAUACAUUCAAAUCGAUCUCGUUUUUCUUCGAUCUUCAAAUCUAACAGCUAGCUCUUUGCCCGUUGCUAUUACUUUAACGCGCAUAUAGACCGAAGCGCGAUGUCUCUUUCUUCCUCUCGUAUCUCCGCUCUCAAAAAAUGACAAGUAUCUCGUAUCCAAUAAUUGAUAGUUCACGGUCUGGCUCGUUACACGUGACACGACUCUAAGCAGUCCUUUCGUAACGAAGUGUGCUACGUUCGCGAUGAGUUGGGCGUGACGAGACGUAAUCUCUCGGUUAGAGUCUUGACGUUUGAUUGGCAAAGCAAACAGUGGGAUACUCGUUCGCGUAGGCGUACAAAUUCACGGCGAGAUCUUUGCGUCAAAAUAUACGACGGUAAUCGGGGAUACCAUCGGAGAUACGAAGGAUUCGUUUUAAAAAUGAAAUAAUCGUGGAUAAAUGAGUUUUUAUCUUUCCAGCAUCGUUCGCUAUAAAUACCUAUUUAGAGUUAAUGUUGCAAGAGACUUUGGUAAAGGAAAAAAAAAAGAUCGAGAAGAAGAUGGAAAGUGGAAACGCCAUAAAUCAUCGAGAUCUUCAAGAUCAUCGGGAUCAUCGUUCCACGUCUUCUCCUCACCCGCUCGAAAAGUUUCUGGUACGCAAAGUAAGAAGCCGUCAACGAGAUCAGGAUGAAUCUACUAGAGCGGAAACGAAGCGUAAGAAGCGUCCGUAUCGUCGGUGACAGAUCGAUGGACGCUGUCGUCGUAGAUGGUUUAGAUUCUAACUCCGGUAGCACGCGCGCAUCCACAUCCCAAAGGUCUUGCCUCGAAAAGCUCGUUCCAUCCCUGCUCGCAUCAAUUAGUUCGAGAAUGAUUUACGACAUUGGCCGAGCGAGAAAGCGAAAAUUUACAUUGUCGACGCUAACCACAAUUGUCCACGGCUAUCGCGACGAAGAAGACCAAAGGAGGGAUGAAGAGACGGUAGAGUUAUUUCGUAGCGCGUGUGGCCUCCGCUCGGAAGAGACGUACCUACCACCGUGUGAUUUAUAAGAUCGCGAAAGGGACGGACCGUUCGUUCCUCAAUCCUGCCUCCGUGGUGCAUCAACGGUGCUCUCUUCGGUCCUCCUUUUUUCUCCUCUUUCCAUCUCCGAUCCUCUCCGGAUUCUCUGGAAUUCGGCUCAUUACGCCUACGCUUUAUCUUCAAUUAUUUCGCAUCGAAUUUAUAUCGCGAAUUUAUGUCGCGCUUUACUACCUCCUAAGAAUUUCAUUUAAUUAGCUAAGACAUUCCGGUACUACGUAUAGAUCAUUCUACGUAGAAUCAUUUGUAAAAAUCGUUUAAAGACGCAAACGACAAGGUGCAACGCACAAAUAGGUAAGAAAUGUAGCGGCGAAGGACGGGCUAACGCGUUAGCGAGAGAUUGGACGACGACAUGCUUGAUUUAUACCUAUCGUAAAGGUAAUAGAUAAUACGAUCCAAGCGACGUCACGUCAAUCUUAAGAGGACGUUAAUUAAUUUAGACACCGAAACCUUUGGAAUUCGACCAAGCGUUGAUCUUUUCUCUCUCUCUC
Long non-coding RNA from Vespula pensylvanica (western yellowjacket), 1926 nucleotides. RefSeq lists it as uncharacterized. NCBI's taxonomy places the organism in Eukaryota, Metazoa, Arthropoda, Insecta, Hymenoptera, Vespidae. The record is from RefSeq and is a predicted model, not a curated record. The transcript has 3 exons.